GACGAACGCUGGCGGCGUGCUUAACACAUGCAAGUCGAACGGAAAGGCCCCUUUGGGGGUCCUCGAGUGGCGAACGGGUGAGUAACACGUGAGUAACCUGCCCUUGACUUCGGGAUAACUUCAGGAAACUGGGGCUAAUACCGGAUAGGAAUCCUUGCUGCAUGGUGGGGGUUGGAAAGCUUCGGCGGUUUUGGAUGGACUCGCGGCUUAUCAGCUUGUUGGUGGGGUAGUGGCUUACCAAGGCUUUGACGGGUAGCCGGCCUGAGAGGGCGACCGGCCACAUUGGGACUGAGAUUCGGCCCAGACUCCUACGGGAGGCAGCAGUGGGGAAUAUUGCACAAUGGGCGGAAGCCUGAUGCAGCAACGCCGCGUGCGGGAGGACGGCCUUCGGGUUGUGAACCGCUUUCAGCAGGGGCGAAGCUUGUGGUGACGGUACCUGCAGAAGAAGCACCGGCUAACUACGUG
RNAcentral lists this ribosomal RNA (465 nucleotides) under uncultured bacterium. RNAcentral's name for it is "partial 16S ribosomal RNA". It matches the Rfam family "Bacterial small subunit ribosomal RNA", at positions 28 to 507 of the family's 1533-position model. The record is from RNAcentral.